RNAcentral lists this ribosomal RNA (253 nucleotides) under uncultured bacterium. Its description in RNAcentral is "partial 16S ribosomal RNA". It matches the Rfam family "Bacterial small subunit ribosomal RNA", at positions 524 to 776 of the family's 1533-position model. The record is from RNAcentral.
UACAGAGGUCUCGAGCGUUGUUCGGAUUCAUUGGGCGUAAAGGGUGCGUAGGCGGCCAACUAAGUCGGAUGUGAAAUCCCCAGGCUUAACCUGGGAACUGCAUCCGAUACUGGAUGGCUUGAAUUCGGGAGAGGGAUGCAGAAUUCCAGGUGUAGCGGUGAAAUGCGUAGAUAUCUGGAGGAAUACCGGUGGCGAAGGCGGCAUCCUGGACCGACAUUGACGCUGAGGAGCGAAAGCCAGGGGAGCAAACGGG